GAGAGAGGUCUGAGACCGUAAGAACUGCUAAUUCUUACCCCGCGAAGUUAGAAUCUUCGGCUCACUCG
Molecule: transfer RNA, 68 nt
Filed under: Spratelloides gracilis (silver-stripe round herring)
Lineage: Eukaryota; Metazoa; Chordata; Actinopteri; Clupeiformes; Clupeidae
Description: tRNA-Ser (AGY)
Source: RNAcentral